RNAcentral lists this ribosomal RNA (869 nucleotides) under Torula chromolaenae. RNAcentral describes it as "partial large subunit ribosomal RNA". It matches the Rfam family "Eukaryotic large subunit ribosomal RNA", at positions 34 to 919 of the family's 3401-position model. Lineage: Eukaryota; Fungi; Ascomycota; Dothideomycetes; Pleosporales; Torulaceae. The record is from RNAcentral.
AUAAGCAUAUCAAUAAGCGGAGGAAAAGAAACCAACAGGGAUUGCCCCAGUAACGGCGAGUGAAGCGGCAACAGCUCAAAUUUGAAAUCUGGCCCCUUUGGGGUCCGAGUUGUAAUUUGCAGAGGGAGCUUUUGGCGUCGGUCGUGGUCUAAGUUCCUUGGAACAGGACGUCACAGAGGGUGAGAAUCCCGUACGUGGCCGCCGGCCUUCGCCUUGUAAAGCCCCUUCGACGAGUCGAGUUGUUUGGGAAUGCAGCUCUAAAUGGGAGGUAAAUUUCUUCUAAAGCUAAAUACCCGCCAGAGACCGAUAGCGCACAAGUAGAGUGAUCGAAAGAUGAAAAGCACUUUGGAAAGAGAGUGAAAAAGCACGUGAAAUUGUUGAAAGGGAAGCGCUUGCAGCCAGACGUGCCCGCGGUUGAUCAUCCAGGCUCCAGCCUGGUGCACUCCUCCGCGGGCAGGCCAGCAUCAGUUCGGGCGGUCGGAUAAAGGCCUCUAUCACGUACCACCCCUCGGGGUGGCCUUAUAGGGGAGGCGCAACACGGCCAGCCCGGACUGAGGUUCCGCGCAUCUGCUAGGAUGCUGGCGUAAUGGCGGCAAGCGGCCCGUCUUGAAACACGGACCAAGGAGUCUAACAUCUAUGCGAGUGUUUGGGUGUCAAGCCCGAGCGCGCAAUGAAAGUGAACGGAGGUGGGAACCCUCACGGGUGCACCAUCGACCGAUCCUGAUGUCUUCGGAUGGAUUUGAGUAAGAGCAUAGCUGUUGGGACCCGAAAGAUGGUGAACUAUGCCUGAAUAGGGUGAAGCCAGAGGAAACUCUGGUGGAGGCUCGCAGCGGUUCUGACGUGCAAAUCGAUCGUCAAAUUUGGGCAUA